This 75-nucleotide transfer RNA is filed under the name Deltaproteobacteria bacterium. RNAcentral describes it as "tRNA-Gly". It matches the Rfam family "tRNA". From Rfam's summary of the family: Transfer RNA (tRNA) molecules are approximately 80 nucleotides in length. The record is from RNAcentral. Lineage: Bacteria; Pseudomonadati; Myxococcota; Myxococcia.
GCGGGAAUAGCUCAGUGGUAGAGCAUCACCUUGCCGAGGUGAGGGUCGCGGGUUCGAAUCCCGUUUCCCGCUCCA